UGUUGCCUGAGAACCUGUCCCGCAGCACAGUGUUCUUAUCUCCGGGGCCCACAGGCCAGCGUGGGUUAUGACGCAGUGUCCUUUGCCAUGCGCUUAUCUAAUCAGCUCAUGCUUCAAAAUUCAGCUGGAUCAUUUCCGCUCUGCGAAGGAUAUGACAUGGUAACUAUCCAUGAGAAGACAAAGAAGUCAGCAAUCUGAUGCAAGAACUGAAAGGGAGCCCCAGCUAGAAUCUCACAGAGUAAUUAUAAAAGCAGAAGAAAGGGCUCCAGAGGAAGAGGCUGGAGGAGACACUGCAGGGAUAGGAAAGACUUGCUGGCCUUCUCCCUUCUGUGGCCACGCUCUUGACCUGGGAGGUCCAGAGCAUACUCUUCAUGUCUAAGGGGAAAGCAUUUAAAUAGAGGCUGGAAGCUUCAGUACUUGUCAACUGGUGAGUUCUAUAGAAAGGUAACAAGGAAGAAACUUCCUGUUUCCUGGAGAGACCUCCAAAUACCAGCAUCUAUAGACUGCUUCACCUGAUUCCCUAGACAGGAAUUA
RNAcentral lists this long non-coding RNA (534 nucleotides) under Chinchilla lanigera (long-tailed chinchilla). RNAcentral describes it as "lncRNA (ENSCLAG00000027212.1)". The record is from RNAcentral. Lineage: Eukaryota; Metazoa; Chordata; Mammalia; Rodentia; Chinchillidae.